UUUUGACAAAACUAAUACAAUUCUGUUUUGUCCAUCCUACCUACCUUUUAGUUUUCAACAUUUAAAGCUGCCUUUGCAUUCAUUUAAAAUGGACUUUUCCCAAGUAAAAACUUUAGGAACAGCAGAACUCACCAUAGAUUGUGUUGGCAUCUCCCUAGGGACAUAUAACCUGUAAAUCACCCGGUUUUCUAGUUUCCUUGAGAAUCUGUAAUGUACAUUGAACCCAGAGUGCAGCAUGCUGAAAGGGAGUCUUUUUAGAAUGUAGUGAAGUCACUGCUACUGAGACAUGUGUUCACAUAUAUGUACCUUCUCUCUUCCAGUAAAGGGUGGCAGAGGGCACAGACGCCACCAGCAGACUCUUCGGAAGAAAGUAACAGGACUGGAACUUCAUUUUCCCAUGGAUUGUAAAAGGUUUCCACGCAUCCUUAGACUUCCAUACCAAGAAAUUUUUUUUCUUGGAUAUAGAUCCAAGAUGGCGGAUUGCUAACAGCUCGAGAUUGUAGCUCCAGUGAAAACACAGAGAACGAGAGGACACCACACUUUCAGACGAAUUUUCAUCACUCACGGACCAGAAGGUUCCCAGUGGAGGAGCCCCAUGGGUCGCCAGCGUGACUCUUGUGGCCGGUGCAGCGGUUUUGCUGAUGCCUCAGCGUGGCAGCUCUUUAUGCAGAGUAAACAGGAUUGGUUCCCCUUCUGACUGAUGUUUGGAGCUCCGGGAAGGCAGAGCCACUUAUUAUGGACUCAAGAAGAAAGCCAGACUGGAGAUUCCCAGGCAGAAGAGCACCAUCAGUCUUAUCACUGCUGUUUUGGCCGGUGCAGUGGGUUGCUCAGAUUCCAGCACUGGGAAUCAAUAAACUGGACGUCCACUCAGAAACCUAAUUAGAAAGGCGGUAAUUGUAAAGAUGACAGAUGGAUAAAUUUAUAACAAAGGGAAGAAACCAGCCUAAAAAGGCUGAGAAUACCCAAAAUCAGAACCCCUCUUCCUCUACAGGGGAUUACAGUUCCUCAUCAGCAACAGAACAAGCCCUGAUGGAGAAGGAUUGUGUUCCAUUAACAGAAGUAGGCUUCAGAAGGUGGAUGAUAAGAAACUUCUGGGAGUAAAAAGAACUUGUUCUAACCCAAUGUAAAGAAACUAAGAACUUUGAAAAAAGGUUUGACAAAAUGCUAACAAGAAUAGACAAUAUAGAGAGGAAUAUAAAUGAACUAACAGAGUUGAAAAACACAACACGAGAACUUAGCAAAAUAUGCACAAGUUUGAAUAGCCGAAUUGAUCAAGCAGAAGAAAGGAUAUCAGAGGUCGAAGACCAACUUAAUGAAAUAAAACAAGAAGACAAGAAUAGAGAAAAAAGGAUAAAAAGAAAUGAGCAAAGUCUCCAAGAAAUAUGGGACUAUGUGAAAAGACCUAAUUUAUGUUUGAUAGGUGUACCUGAAUGUGACAGAGAGAAUGAAUCCAAGCUGGAAAAUACUCUUCAGGAUAUUAUUCAGGAAAACUUUCCCAAUCUAGCAAAGCAGGACAAUAUUCAACCCCUGGUAAUACAGAGAACACCACAAGAUUUUCCUCAAGAAGAGCAACCCCAAGGUACAUAAUCGUCAGAUUCACCAGGGUUGAAAUGAAGGAGAAAAUACUAAGGGCAGCCAGGGAGAAAGGUCAGGUUACCCACAAAGGGAAGCCUAUUAGACUUACAGCAGAUCUCUCAGCAGAAACCCUACAAGCCAGAAGAGAGUGGGGGCCAAUAUUCAAUAUCCUUAAAGAAAAGAACUUUCAGCCCAGAAUUUCAUAUUCUGCCAAACUAAGCUUCACAAUUGAAGAAAAAAUAAAAUCUUUUAUGAACAA
This is a long non-coding RNA of Callithrix jacchus (white-tufted-ear marmoset), 1834 nucleotides long. RefSeq lists it as uncharacterized. NCBI's taxonomy places the organism in Eukaryota, Metazoa, Chordata, Mammalia, Primates, Cebidae. The record is from RefSeq and is a predicted model, not a curated record.